UACGUAGGGGGGCUAGCGUUGUCCGGAUUUAUUGGGCGUAAAGAGCGUGUAGGCGGCCAGGUAGGUCUGCUGUGAAAACUCGAGGCUCAACCUCGAGACGUCGGCGGAAACCAUCUGGCUAGAGUCCGGAAGAGGAGAGUGGAAUUCCUGGUGUAGCGGUGAAAUGCGCAGAUAUCAGGAAGAACACCCGUGGCGAAGGCGGGUCUCUGGGCAGUAACUGACGCUGAGGAGCGAAAGCGUGGGGAGCGAACAGG
Molecule: ribosomal RNA, 254 nt
Filed under: uncultured bacterium
Lineage: Bacteria
Description: partial 16S ribosomal RNA
Rfam family: Bacterial small subunit ribosomal RNA
Source: RNAcentral